UAAGUUGGAACUUAGUCAAUUGAAUAAACUACUAAAAAACAUGUUAACGACUACUAUUGAUUCACCGCAACAUAAAAGAGUCCUUCUAAGGGGGAAUAUCAGGAAGAACGAGCCUGUUUUGGAUGAUAUUCGUGAAAAGUAUAAAUCAAAGGAAGACAUUAGGAGGAUAAAAAAGGCAAGGGAGAUACAUCUGGAAAUAAUAAAGUGUGCAAGGAAUAUAAACGAUUGUUAUGGCUUACAUAUUUUAUUCUCUAUAUCAACAGCUUUAAUAUUAAUCACUAUUAUGUCUUACAAUAUGUUCUAUCUCUUAUUAUCUAUGGACAAUAUACUACAAAUUGAACAAAAUUAUUCUUUUCUUUGUUGGAUUUUGUUCUUUGCCAUGAAGAUCAUUUUAGUAAGUCAUAUAUGUGCACGAACAGUCACUGAGGUAUUUUUCUUAUGAGUAUUCUUUAUAUUUUUUGUUAUAAUAAGAAAUUUUUUUUCAUAAAAUUUUAAUCAAAGUCUGCACGAAAUAUUUAUUAACGUUAUAUCAUAUUUUUUUACAUGCGGCGAAAACCGGAGAUAUUCUUUGCGAAUUGUACGAACCAUCAAGCAGUAACGAAAUACGUAUGAAGAUUCGUGAUUUUACUUUGCAAUUUAUUCAAAACCCAUUGAUCCUUACAAGCUGUGGCAUUUUUGAUCUCGAUUAUACAUUGAUACGUAACGUGAUCGGAAUCGUUGCAACUUAUAUCGUUAUUCUCAUUCAAAUUGGAAAUGUAUCACAACAAGAUUUAAAUAAAAAUUCAACUUUAUCGCCUAAUAAUGAUUGAGAAAUUUACGAUUAUUCUUAGAUACAGAUGCGUUUAGAACUAUAUUAAGAGUUAAAAUAUAUUAGUAAUCUCUAUAGCAUUAAAUAUUUAGAGUUAUCCGUUUAUGCUACUUUUAUAAAUUGUGUCUUUUUUAUCUAGCACAACUACUUAAAUGUUUGAAUGUAAUAUGGAAAUUGGUGUUCAAUUCUACUUCACUACCAUUAUCACAGCGAUUUUUUUUUAUUGCCUUUCCAAUGAGAUAACUAAAGUAAUAAGUUUUUCGAUGUGUACAAUUAUGGUCGAGCAUAAGAUAAAUCAUUUUUUAGUCGGUAAAGACAAUGAAAUUAUUUAAAAAUUUUUCGCUAAAAUUAUAUUAUAUGUAAUAAUAUUGGACCUUCUGCACAGUUUUUUCUCCAAUAUUGAUAAUUUUUUUUAAUUGAUAAGUUAAUAUAAUUUCAUAAUAUAUAUUCCACGUUCGAUUUAUAUAAUCUUAAUUGCGAAUAUUGUAUAUUUGUU
Vespa velutina is the source of this 1304-nucleotide long non-coding RNA. RefSeq lists it as uncharacterized. Lineage: Eukaryota; Metazoa; Arthropoda; Insecta; Hymenoptera; Vespidae. The transcript is spliced from 4 exons. The record is from RefSeq and is a predicted model, not a curated record.